CCUACGGGCGGCAGCAGUGAGGAAUAUUGGUCAAUGGCCGUAAGGCUGAACCAGCCAAGUAGCGUGAGGGAAGACUGCCCUAUGGGUUGUAAACCUCUUUUAUGCGGGGAUAAAGGUGUCCACGUGUGGAUUUUUGCAGGUACCUCAUGAAUAAGGACCGGCUAAUUCCGUGCCAGCCGCCGCGGUAAUACGGAAGGUCCGGUCUUUAUCCGGAUUUAUUGGGUUUAAAGGGAGCGUCGGCCGGUCUUUAAGCGUGCCGUGAAAUGUUGGGGCUCAACCAUGGGAGUGCGGCGGGUACUGGAGAACUGGAGUGCGGGGAAGGCAGGCGGAAUUCGUGGUGUAGCGGUGAAAUGCGUAGAUAUCACGAAGAACCCCGAUUGCGAAGGCAGCCUGCCGCAGCGAGACUGACGCUGAAGCUCGAAAGCGCGGGUAUCGAACAGGAUUAGAUACCCCUGUAGUC
This 460-nucleotide ribosomal RNA is filed under the name uncultured bacterium. Its description in RNAcentral is "partial 16S ribosomal RNA". It matches the Rfam family "Bacterial small subunit ribosomal RNA", at positions 338 to 795 of the family's 1533-position model. The record is from RNAcentral.